UACGGAGGGAGCUAGCGUUGUUCGGAAUUACUGGGCGUAAAGAGCGCGUAGGCGGUCUGUAAAGUUAGGAGUGAAAUCCCAAGGCUUAACCUUGGAACUGCUCUUAAAACUCACAGACUAGAGAUUGGUAGAGGAUGGUGGAAUUCCUAGUGUAGAGGUGAAAUUCGUAGAUAUUAGGAGGAACACCGGUGGCGAAGGCGGCCAUCUGGGCCAACACUGACGCUGAGGCGCGAAAGCGUGGGGAGCAAACAGG
This 253-nucleotide ribosomal RNA is filed under the name uncultured bacterium. RNAcentral's name for it is "partial 16S ribosomal RNA". It matches the Rfam family "Bacterial small subunit ribosomal RNA", at positions 524 to 776 of the family's 1533-position model. The record is from RNAcentral.